UUGAUUUCUCAUACAUACAACCAAAAUGCCAUCCCUCAAAUACAUUACAUUUCUUUACAAAAGGGUUUUACAUAUCAUUCUUUCCUUUUUAUACUCGAGGGUAGUGAGCUAACGCCGGUGGUCCACUCUAUCUACUGCGCGACGCCCUUGCCGCGAUCCUCGACACACGCGCUCGAACUAGGCUCUGCAAAACAGGGUGUGAGAACUAUUAUCCUGUAACCCCCGAGAUCUCUGUAGAAUAUUGAGGAUUUUAGCCAAAUCGACUAAAGUACUCAAGAGAAAUGGUCGGACGAAGUCUAUUUAACAUUCCAACAGUGUUGGAAGGGUUAAAAGUGAGUUCCAACGAGGUUCGAAAGGUUUUAGCAUUGCUCGGCGUGAAUUGGAGUCGAAACAAUGCGAGAUUGAAGUUCGGGAGCAUUCGGGCGUUUCCGGUGCGCGUAGGCGUGAAAACGGGACCCGAAAGGCUAUGUUGGACCAUGAGCUAAAUCCGGCAUUAGCGUGGAUGAAAAGAUGAUGAGAUCGUGCUCGAAAACAUGUUUAUAGAGCCUCGGUUCGAUUUGAGAUGAAUCGGAGGUCAAACGAACGAAAACGAGCGAAAACGGAGAAAAAGCUGAAAAAUUGGCUAAGUCCUGAAAAAGUGCCCGUGUACCGGUGACACCCCUGGUGUGUACCGGUACGCAGUGUAAAAAUCCGAGAAGAGAGCUCUCGGGUUUGGCUGUUACGCAGGUCGUGUACCGGUGACAGCAACCCGUGUACCGGUACGCAGUAGACCCGACAGCAAAAAUGAGUCUGCUGCAAAUAUGAUUGGUUGGGGGGUUUAUUUGCAAUUGUUGCAAUAUAAUAAAUACCCCAAACCCCUCCCCCACUGCAGCAGCUCUCUCCCUCUCUCCCUCUCGUGUCUCUCUCUCCCUCUCAACCGGUUGCAAAGGGAAAAGAAAAGAGAAGGAAAAAGAGAAGAGAAGGAAGGAAAAGAGAGAAAAGCAAGGAGAAGGAGAAGAAGAUCUUCAUCUUCAUCCUCAUCUUCAUCUUCUUCCUCAUUUUGAAGCUUUUGGAGAGGUAAGUACCUUGCUCCUCUCAUGGUGGAUUUUGGUAGGAUGGGUUUUAAACCCUAAAGCUUAGAAAUUUAGAGCUUCUAAUAUGUUUAGAACCUUGUAAAGACCGAGAACCCAUGAAAUCCAUGGUGUUCUUCAUGAUGCUCUAAUGGUGGAUUUCUAGGGUUUGUUCUAAAUGCCCUAGAAAGGGUCCAAAUGGUUUGGAAAUGGGAUUAGAGAGCUUCUUGGGUAAUUCUAAGCUUGAUUAUGCUUAGCAACAAGAUCAAUCCCAAGAAAUCUCAUUAUUGCAUUGUUAGGGCACCAAAUUUGGGGCUUUUGCCUCCGGUUGUUUCUAAGGCAAAUUGACCUUGUAGAAACCUAAUUGGGGACCUAACGAACGCGUUGGUGCGCUCGGUUCGGCAAUCCGACGAGCGUACGCGAAGUUAUUGACGAAACAAUCGGUUUUGGUACAGAUAGCCGCAGCACGCGGAAUAAAGGUCUAAAAAUCAUGAGAUCGGAACCGGAGCACCUUGGAGUCAAGGAAUAACUUCCGGAAAAGACGGAUCGCGAUUUGGAGGUCGUUCGCUAAGUCGCGCAAGAGUUCGGGCCAAACCGGGCAACGGUUGCCGCGGGAGGCCGAUUGCAAGUGUCGACGAGCAAUCGGAACGCGUGUUAAGGUGGGUUGGUUUACCGAAGCGACUAGGUCGCCUUUAUGUCUAAGCGAAUUAAGAAUUCGUGUUGAUGCAUCNGCUUCACCACCAAGCAACUCCAAUUAGUAUUCUCUAAUCCUCUCUUAGCAAAUCCUCUCUUUAGCAAAUCCUCUUUUUGAUAAAGAGAAAGAGAGAGAGAAAGAGAGACCACAAGGACAAAGAGAGAAAGAGAGAGAAAGCCCACUCUCUCUUUCCUACGGUUUGGGAAAAAGGGGGCAAGGGUUCACUCACACUCAUAGGAAACUUGCCCUCCAAGUAAACCCUUGAUUUGCACAAUUACACUUUAGUCCCUCUCAUAACAUAGGGAGACUUGCCCUCCAAGUAAUCUCUUAUACAUAGGAAACUUGCCCUCCAAGUAAACUCUUUUACUUGCACCAUUACACCUUAGCCCCUCUCAUUUGCACAAUUACACCUUAGCCCCUCUCAUUUGCACAAUUACACCUUAGCCCCUCUCAUUUGCACAAUUUUCAUUUACACUUAUUUCUAUAUUACAAAUUCGGUACACUACAUCUAUAUAUAUAUAUAUAUAGAAUUAUGCUCCUAUACUAUUAAUAGUACCAAGUCUUUGGUACUAUUGAGUUUUUGGCCGUUGGAUGAAAGGAUGUGCGGUUAGGAUGAUAGUGGUCCCCUAGGGUUGAGUGGGUGGUUGGUUUAAUAGUAUAAUCUAACGGGUGAAAAUGAUCACAGAGUAGAUCUGACGGUAGAAAACUUUAUAGUACCAAAGGCUUGGUACUAUCAAUAGUAUAGUAGCCGGACUCUAUACAUAUAUAUAUAUAU
This 2518-nucleotide long non-coding RNA is filed under the name Ananas comosus (pineapple). Its description in RNAcentral is "long non-coding RNA (ACOM_LNC020923)". Lineage: Eukaryota; Viridiplantae; Streptophyta; Magnoliopsida; Poales; Bromeliaceae. The record is from RNAcentral.